CCUCAUUUAAGGGCUGACUGCCACUGAGGAAGCAUCUCUUUCUGGAGAUCCCUCCUUGGGGGAGCUUUCCUUGCAAAUCCUGAAUCUUCUGAUACAGCCAUCAUCCUCCAUACCAAAGAGGUUUUAUCCACUUGGCUUGCUGGCCAUCACAAAGGCUGGAAGAGGAGGAAGAGGCAGAAACUGUCUGACUCUUAGUGUUGACUGAGCUGCCACCUGGAUGCUCCAGUGCUGAGAUGGUGUGACCAGCAGCCUGGACUUAGUGGGCAAUGAAGCCAAGCAGCUGAGAUCCCUUUCUAUGGAGAGGGACACAGCCUUUCACCCAAUGGUGUUGGCUCUUGAAAGCCAUGAGGGAAAGAUAUCCCUACAAGGAAGACUUGAUGUUUAACUCAGGUAAAUGGACCACCAUGGAGAAAGGUAUCUUGAGGGUACUGGCUGUGGUAGAGGUGAUGUAUGGAAUUAACUUGAAUGAUAACACCAAACUCAAAGACUCAGAUGAUGUGGUGUGUAUACAACCGAUGUGGCAGAGAGUUGUACAAAAUGGACCACCACCGUAUGCCAGCACCCUGACAGGGAUGAACUGGAAAGAUAAUAAAAGACCAAGGCUGAGUGAAGUGGCCAGCCUACUUUGACAAUAAGAAAAUAGUCUCUCUUCUUCCCUAUGGACCUGUGUCUUUGCUGUGGAGAAGCUGUCCCAGGAGGCCCAGUGAUUCAAAGAUAAUAUGUCCUGCUCCUCACCUGUGCAAAAUGGUAUCUGAGCUAUUAGAAGUAAGUGUUCCUCUGCUCAAGAGAGAGGAUGUAGUGGAUACACACCAUGAACCUCCUGUGGUUUUUACCUGCGUGAUGUCCUUUGCUCCUCACAGUGACUCUGGCUGCAGUUCUGACAACAGGAGGAAGCAAUGGAGGUGGGAUGGGUGCACCCUUGGUGGUAAUUUGGAGCUAACUGGCCAAAGCUAGCCACAACUAAGCACAAAGGAAAAUAACAGAAGCCAAGUCCUUUGCAGCAGUUGCAUGCUUUCACCCUGAUGGGGCCCUGUCCUGGUGGGGUCCAUGCAGGGGCUUCUCCCACUUUGGUACCACCAGGCCCAGUGCAACACCCCAUGAUCCAGCCUGGCUCAGUGGGGCUGUAUGCAUUGCCCACCAGCAACCCCCAAUCUUCAUCCACUCCGGGCUCCUCUGCGGCCCCUUGGUGGCCCUGGCUGACUCCUCUUGUCCCCAGCUGACGGAGAGGCCAGGCACAGGGGGAGGCAGGGGGACUAAUUAGCGCUGCCUGCCUUUGAUUGACUCACUGGCGUGCAAGGCUCAGUGCGAGCUCCUUGGCCUCUCUCCCUGCUUUUAUUUUUUUCGUGCGUGUUCAGUGGGGAAGGAAUGGUGGCUGCAAGCCAGCAGUGUGGAGCUGGGCCAGAGCUUCAAAGCAAGAUCAUCGCAGAGCAGCUUAGAUGGUAGGAAUGAAAUAAGGUCCUCCCUCAGGUCUCCAUCACGGCAGGUGCCUUUGGGGUGCUGCCAAGUGCCCAUUUCUUGGGGGGUGAGUGGUGGCAUCACCACUCUGCCCACCCCACUCAAUGGUUUUGGGCAGUGGUGAUGCUGCAGAGGGGUGCAUCCCCGUGGCACAAUGCUAAGGAAGAUCUCUCUUUGUUUUCUUUUAUUAUUAUAAACAGGGCCAUGGGAGCAUUUUGGGGCUGCAGGUAUGUCUCAAAGCUUAUCUACCAAGGGAGAGAGGCCACAUUAACAACAGGUUUGUGGGUGAAUCUGGGGCCUGCCCAGUGUGAGUUAAAGUUCAAAUUCAAGUUGGGUGAGCACCAAGCACUUCAGCUUUGGGGAUCUGUGAGAUGAUCAAUCUGCUGCUGCUUACAUGUGUGGGGCUCAAUAAAAGGAAACAAUCUAAAACUGAGAAAAACAUAGGAGCGCUGCUUCCAGCAGCAGCAAAGCGCUCUACCUCCCAGAUGUCCUCCCCUCACCAAGGAUUUGUGUCCUGGGGGCCUACAGUUGAGGAAGUGAAAAGCCCUGAUACAUUGUGCAGUGCAUCCACCUGAAUUAUAGAUUUUUGUGGCCCUGAGCACCAUCUGCAGCCCUUAGUUUAUUGCCUGUAAACCUGGCCUUGACAAGCCCAAACCAUGAUGCGCAAUGGAUGUGGGUAUGGCACAGCUGCAAAAACCACUUGGUUUUUGGGGAGCAUCUUGCUGGAGGUGAU
Numida meleagris (helmeted guineafowl) is the source of this 2188-nucleotide long non-coding RNA. RefSeq lists it as uncharacterized. The transcript is spliced from 2 exons. The record is from RefSeq and is a predicted model, not a curated record. Lineage: Eukaryota; Metazoa; Chordata; Aves; Galliformes; Numididae.